GGGGCUGAUUCUGGAUUCGACGGGAUUUGUGAAACCCAAGGUGCAUGCCGAGGUGAGGUAGGCCUCGUUAAACAGCCUCAAAAAAAUAAUUGCAAACGAUAACUCGUUCGAACCUGCUGCUUUAGCAGCUUAAUCAGCUUAAUACCCUGAAGGUUCCCUCUCUCCCUAGCCUUCGCUCUUAGGACGGGGAUCAAGAGAGGUCAAACCCAAAAGAGCUCGCGUGGAGAUCCUGCCUGGGGUUAAAGCGCUAAAACUAAUCAGGCUAGUUUGUCAGUAGCGUGUCCGUCCGCAGCUGGCAGGCGAAUGUAAUGACUGGACUAAGCAUGUAGUGCCGAGGACGUAAUAAUUCCGGACGGGGGUUCAAAUCCCCCCAGCUCCACCA
RNAcentral lists this transfer-messenger RNA (382 nucleotides) under Enterobacteriaceae (enterobacteria). Its description in RNAcentral is "Acerihabitans ligni Standard tmRNA". It matches the Rfam family "transfer-messenger RNA". From Rfam's summary of the family: Bacterial tmRNA, also known as 10Sa RNA or SsrA, is named for its dual tRNA and mRNA-like properties. Its role is to liberate the mRNA from a stalled ribosome. The record is from RNAcentral. RNAcentral also lists the same sequence under 2 other names. Lineage: Bacteria; Pseudomonadati; Pseudomonadota; Gammaproteobacteria; Enterobacterales.